Molecule: unclassified non-coding RNA, 1618 nt
Filed under: Hevea brasiliensis (rubber tree)
Lineage: Eukaryota; Viridiplantae; Streptophyta; Magnoliopsida; Malpighiales; Euphorbiaceae
Source: RNAcentral
GGCUUCGUGGUCGAACAACUCCCCUCCUUCUUCCUCGGCGGCGGCGGCGGCGGCGGCUAAUGCCGUUGACACCGCUGCCGCUGCCGCAGUGCCUACCGCCUCUGAUGCGGUAGCGCUGGAAGGUUGCGUUGGUAAUGAGAGUUUGAAGGUAGAGGAGAAGGGUUUAGUUGAUUCCAGAACCUCUGUCUUUGAUUCCGAUGGGAGUGUUGCAAUCCACGCUGGCGAAAGAUUUGGUCGUGGUAGAGCUGACGACGCUAUUACUACGCCGGUGGUUAAUACUUCCGCUUAUUUCUUUAAGAAAACUGCUGAUCUCAUUGAUUUCAAGGAGAAGCGCGCUGUGAGUUUCGAGUAUGGGCGCUAUGGAAAUCCAACGACAAUUGUUGCGGAGGAGAAGAUAAGUGCUUUAGAAGGGGCUGAAUCUACCCUGAUUGUGGCCUCAGGGAUGUGUGCUAGCACGAUGAUGUUGCUGGCGUUGGUUCCAGCUGGAGGGCAUAUCGUGACGACCACAGAUUGCUACAGGAAGACGAGAAUUUUUAUCGAGACCAUGCUUCCCAAAAUGGGAAUCACGGCUACCACCAUUGAUCCUGCAGAUAUGAACGCCCUUGAAGUAGCUCUGAAAGGGAACAAUGUUUCUCUUUUCUUCACUGAAUCCCCAACAAAUCCAUUUCUGAGAUGCGUUGAUAUUAAACUUGUUUCAGAGAUGUGUCAUCGACAUGGAGCACUGGUGUGUAUUGAUGGUACAUUUGCCACACCAUUGAACCAGAAGGCACUUUCACUUGGGGCGGACCUUGUUCUUCACUCCGCAACCAAAUAUAUUGGGGGCCACAACGAUGUCCUUGCUGGUUGUGUGAGUGGUUCUCUGAAACUGGUUUCUGAGAUUCGGAAUCUUCAUCAUGUGAUAGGUGGUGCCUUAAAUCCGAAUGCUGCUUACUUAAUUAUACGAGGCAUGAAGACGUUGCAUCUUCGUGUUCAGCAGCAGAAUUCCUCAGGUCUGAAGAUGGCAAAGCUUUUAGAGGCUCAUCCUAAGAUCAAAUGUGUUUACUACCCUGGACUGCCAAGUCAUCCUGAACAUAAUCUUGCCAAAAGGCAGAUGACUGGUUUCGGGGGCGUAGUUAGUUUUGAGGUUGAUGGCGAUAUAACGGCUACUGCAAAAUUCAUUGACUCAUUAAAAAUUCCGUACAUUGCUCCAUCAUUUGGUGGGUGUGAAAGUAUCAUAGACCAGCCAGCAAUAAUGUCAUACUGGGAUCUUAACCAAACAGAGAGGCUUAAGUAUGGGAUAAAAGACAAUUUGGUGCGUUUCAGCAUUGGAAUUGAAGACUUUGAGGAUUUGAAGGCUGAUAUUCUGCAGGCCCUUGAUGUCAUUUAAAGCUGAACACAGAUAAUUAUGCCCUCUCUCUUUCUUUAUUUAGAUAUCAUCUUGCUUUGGUCUUGAGUGUUGGUGUAUCAAUUGAAUUUUGAUUUGCCAAUUCUCAUUGUAUUGUUAAUGAUGUCGAUUCGAUUGAAAUGGAACCUUCUUCAUUUGUAUGGUAACCACCCUUAUUAUUAUCCCCUUCCCCUCAGGAACAGAAAAUGAUCCCUAGACAUUGUUGUUGUUAUUUUCCAUAACAAAUUCAUCGAG